UGAGUACAGUAGAGGUGGGCGGAAUUCGUGGUGUAGCGGUGAAAUGCUUAGAUAUCACGAAGAACUCCGAUUGCGAAGGCAGCUCACUGGACUGCAACUGACGCUGAGGCUCGAAAGCGUGGGUAGCAAACAGGAUUAGAUACCCUGGUAGUCCACGCCGUAAACGAUGAUUACUAGGUGUGGGGGGACUGACCCCUUCCGUGCCGGAGUAAACACAAUAAGUAAUCCACCUGGGGAGUACGACCGCAAGGUUGAAACUCAAAGGAAUUGACGGGGGCCCGCACAAGCAGUGGAGUAUGUGGUUUAAUUCGAAGCAACGCGAAGAACCUUACCAGGUCUUGACAUCCUUUGCAUAACCUAGAGAUAGGCGAAAUCCUUCGGGACAAAGUGACAGGUGGUGCAUGGUUGUCGUCAGCUCGUGUCGUGAGAUGUUGGGUUAAGUCCCGCAACGAGCGCAACCCUUAUGUUUAGUUGCUACGCAAGAGCACUCUAGACAGACUGCCGUUGACAAAACGGAGGAAGGUGGGGAUGACGUCAAAUCAUCAUGCCCCUUAUGACCUGGGCUACACACGUACUACAAUGGCCGUUAACAGAGGGAAGCAAAGCCGCGAGGCGGAGCAAACCCCUAAAAACGGUCCCAGUUCGGAUUGUAGGCUGCAACCCGCCUACAUGAAGUUGGAAUUGCUAGUAAUCGCGGAUCAGCAUGCCGCGGUGAAUACGUUCCCGGGCCUUGUACACACCGCCCGUCACACCAUGGGAGCCGGUAAUACCCGAAGUCANNNGCCUAACCGCAAGGAGGGCGCUGCCGAAGGUAGGAUUGGCGACUGGGGUGAAGUCGUAACAAGGUAACCGUA
This 854-nucleotide ribosomal RNA is filed under the name uncultured bacterium. RNAcentral's name for it is "bacterial SSU rRNA". It matches the Rfam family "Bacterial small subunit ribosomal RNA", at positions 642 to 1504 of the family's 1533-position model. The record is from RNAcentral.